Amphiprion ocellaris (clown anemonefish) is the source of this 1112-nucleotide long non-coding RNA. Lineage: Eukaryota; Metazoa; Chordata; Actinopteri; Pomacentridae. The record is from Ensembl.
UGUGUGUGUGUGUGUGUGGGUGUGUAUGUGUGUGUGUGUGUGUGUGGGUGCACUUGCAUUUAUUACUUCGUGGGGCCCAGUGGCAAGGAGCACACCAACAGUGAGGGGCCCAGCGACAGUGUGGGGCCCAAAAUCGUGGGCCCCACACCGAUUUCAAUUUAUUUCAGCUCAGGAGACUCCCCUGAUAUGCCUCCCGCUUUUUCUUCACAUGGCCCACAAGGUAACAAAAACUGGAAAGUGUGUAAAAGUGUGUAACUUUUUUUGUGCUCGUGAGAGCCUCGGGUGGCACUUCGUGGUACUGCAGCCGAUACACACACUUCCUGAAGUGUGUAUCAUCUCAGCCAAUGGAACAAGAUGUGGGCGGGGCCUCCCUGCAAUAUGACACUCACUACGUCAUCUCCGUCUGUCGACUCCAGGCCUGCCAUGCUGUGCAAAACAGAGCCAUAAUGUCAAAAAGGAAGAACAGGAUACAGCCUGUUGAUGAUGAAACAUCAUAUAUUCUGUCUUCGAGGGACAAGCCGGGAUUUAUAGAAAGAUUUAUUAAUAGUAACAAAGGAAGAGGAGUGUUUGUGACCCAGCCCAUUGAACCAGGAGCUUUCCUCUUGGAAUACAGAGGUGAACUCAUGUCAGUUGAAGAAUGCCGGUCCAGACACUACUCGGAGAAACGAACAAACAAGCAGACUUCUCCUGUGGCAGCAGAGAUCGAGAUGUCCCCCAUAGAUGGUGCUUUACAUGAGAAUUCAAACAGGAUGAUGCUUGUGCACAGGUAACAAACAAGAUGGCUUCUGCUGUGGCAGUAGAGACUGAGAUGUCCCCCAUACAUGGUGCUUCACAUGAGGAUUCAGAUCAAGAUGAUGCUCAUGCACAGGUAACAAACAAGAUGGCUUCUGCUGUGGCAGUAGAGACUGAGAUGUCCCCCAUACAUGGUGCUUCACAUUAGGAUUCAGAUCAAGAUGAUGCUCAUGCACAGGUAACAAACAAGAUGGCUUCUGCUGUGGCAGUAGAGACUGAGAUGUCCCCCAUACAUGGUGCUUCACAUGAGGAUUCAGACCAAGAUGAUGCUCAUGCACAGGUAAUGUAGAUACUGUUGGUCUGCACACUAUGUAGUUCCA